RNAcentral lists this ribosomal RNA (497 nucleotides) under uncultured bacterium. Its description in RNAcentral is "partial 16S ribosomal RNA". It matches the Rfam family "Bacterial small subunit ribosomal RNA", at positions 28 to 507 of the family's 1533-position model. The record is from RNAcentral.
GAUGAACGCUGGCGGCGUGCCUAAUACAUGCAAGUCGAGCGAACAGACGAGGAGCUUGCUCCUCUGACGUUAGCGGCGGACGGGUGAGUAACACGUGGAUAACCUACCUAUAAGACUGGGAUAAAUUCAGGAAACCGGAGCUAAUACCGGAUAAUAUAUUGAACCGCAUGGUUCAAUAGUGAAAGACGGUUUUGCUGUCACUUAUAGAUGGAUCCGCGCCGCAUUAGCUAGUUGGUAAGGUAACGGCUUACCAAGGCGACGAUGCGUAGCCGACCUGAGAGGGUGAUCGGCCACACUGGAACUGAGACACGGUCCAGACUCCUACGGGAGGCAGCAGUAGGGAAUCUUCCGCAAUGGGCGAAAGCCUGACGGAGCAACGCCGCGUGAGUGAUGAAGGUCUUCGGAUCGUAAAACUCUGUUAUUAGGGAAGAACAAAUGUGUAAGUAACUAUGCACGUCUUGACGGUACCUAAUCAGAAAGCCACGGCUAACUACGUG